GGCCCAGUGGCGGAUGGUCCGCGCUCGCACAGGAUAGGCGGGUAUCAUGAAAAUGACUACUUCUGCGGAAGACGCUCGUUCGAAUCGAGCCUGGGCCA
Mycena latifolia is the source of this 98-nucleotide non-coding RNA. The record is from the annotation of a GenBank genome assembly. NCBI's taxonomy places the organism in Eukaryota, Fungi, Basidiomycota, Agaricomycetes, Agaricales, Mycenaceae.